Molecule: ribosomal RNA, 256 nt
Filed under: uncultured bacterium
Lineage: Bacteria
Description: partial 16S ribosomal RNA
Rfam family: Bacterial small subunit ribosomal RNA
Source: RNAcentral
GUCCACGCUGUAACGAUGGAUACUAGGUGUUGCGGUAUUGACCCGCAGUGCCGAAGCUAACGCAUUAAGUAUCCCGCCUGGGAGUACGGCCGCAAGGCUAAACUCAAGGAAUUGACGGGCCCGCACAAGCGGUGGAGUAUGUGGUUCAAUUCGACGCAACGCGAAGAACCUUACCCAGACUUGACAUCCCAGUAAUCCUGUAGAAAUACGGGAGUGCCCUUCGGGGAUCUGGAGACAGGUGCUGCAUGGCUGUCGU